Molecule: small nucleolar RNA, 138 nt
Filed under: Ornithorhynchus anatinus (platypus)
Lineage: Eukaryota; Metazoa; Chordata; Mammalia; Monotremata; Ornithorhynchidae
Source: RNAcentral
CCCCUCUCAGGGUCGCAUCUGGAGAGUUUCCAGUCCUCUACCAGUCUCGACUACGGGAGGGAGAGUCAAGAAGAGGCCUGUCCCUUCCGUUCCUAGCUUGGGCAGUGGCUAGCGAGUGGAAGGCCAUCUGCUAUAAGU